CUUUUUUUUUUUUUUUUGCUUUGUUUUCUUUUUUCUUUGUAGAAACUUGAAUGAAUUACCAAACAUUUUGGACUGUGUUUGUCUGACCACAAUUCUUCCUCAUAAGUUGGCCGUUUGAUGACACCUGACCUUGAAGUGCACUGAGAAAGUGGUUUUGUGGCCAGUUUAGACUGUUUCAUCUUUGCAGGCUGAGUUGAGGAUGCAAAACUUCCGCAGUCUUCAAAGUCUCCGAAGUCUCCAAAGGAUGACAUCACCCAUUGGGAAGAGCUAGCAUUCUGUAAAAAUGUUCCAUGUUUCUUUAUCAUUUCACAAGGUGACUUGGUCUUCACCAAAUGGGGAAAGGACACAUUGUUUCGUAAUUAUAAAUGAAAGAGUAAAGAUGAGGGAUUUUAACCUUGAUUAAGGACACACAGUCAUAAACAACUUCUGUGAUGACACCAUACCAGUUGAAAUUCUAACAGGUAAUCAUUUUGAUUUUUCAACAUUUUCACCAUUUUGAAACAUGUCAAAUUCAUAUUAGUCUAAGAGUUGUGCAUCUUUAAAGUAUAUCUUAUAACCUGACAUUUUGUUUUUCAAAAUCCCAUUGACAAAUAUAAACUGUGGUAGUUUGGGUUUUACUUCUGGAUUUUGAUCCCAAUGUAAAUAAUUCACCCGUUGUAUUUGACUGCUCACUUUAUCUUUCAGCCAAUAACUUUAAUGACAGUUUCUAUUGUUUAAUUUGCUAUAUAAAGCCAUGCAGUGAACAGUUCGUGGAAGUGAGACAGCUGGCCUUGCUAGCUACACUUCUUCCUAUCUUCCUAUACUGGAUUUAGUGGAAUCAUGUCUUGUUCAUCCGUUUUGUCCUUAUACUUUGCCCUUGUAACUUUACUAAAUUAUUGUAUUACCUUUGGGUUGGGAGAAUUUCUUGAUAGUUUAUAGGCUAAUUUCUAGGCUUUAGGAGUUUGCAUUUGUUAUAUUCAUACUGGUUAUAAAUUCGUAAAGUGUUAAUGAUCUUAUUUUCAUUUCUAUUGAAUUCAUUUUCAAGUCUCUAAUCAUAGUGUAGUUGGGUCGUUUCGAAGUCGCCACUAUCAAAUAAAAUAAAACAAACACAACGCAAAGUACAGACUAUAUGAAAACCAGAUCUGCUACAACACCCCCCCCCCCA
This is a long non-coding RNA of Ostrea edulis (European flat oyster), 1144 nucleotides long. RefSeq lists it as uncharacterized. NCBI's taxonomy places the organism in Eukaryota, Metazoa, Mollusca, Bivalvia, Ostreida, Ostreidae. The record is from RefSeq and is a predicted model, not a curated record. The transcript has 4 exons.